This 253-nucleotide ribosomal RNA is filed under the name uncultured bacterium. RNAcentral's name for it is "partial 16S ribosomal RNA". It matches the Rfam family "Bacterial small subunit ribosomal RNA", at positions 524 to 776 of the family's 1533-position model. The record is from RNAcentral.
UACGUAGGGGGCAAGCGUUAUCCGGAAUCAUUGGGCGUAAAGCGCGUGUAGGCGGUUCCGUAAGUCCGCUCUGAAAGCCCAGGGCUCAACCCUGGGAGGCGGGUGGAUACUACGGAACUGGAGCACGGAAGAGGAGAUUGGAAUUCCUGGUGUAGCGGUGAAAUGCGCAGAUAUCAGGAGGAACACCAACAGCGAAGGCAGAUCUCUGGGACGUUACUGACGCUGAGACGCGAAAGCGUGGGGAGCAAACAGG